RNAcentral lists this ribosomal RNA (253 nucleotides) under uncultured bacterium. RNAcentral describes it as "partial 16S ribosomal RNA". It matches the Rfam family "Bacterial small subunit ribosomal RNA", at positions 524 to 776 of the family's 1533-position model. The record is from RNAcentral.
GACGAACCGUGCGAACGUUGUUCGGAUUCACUGGGCUUAAAGGGCGCGUAGGCGGGUUACCAAGUCAGGGGUGAAAUCUUUCGGCUCAACCGGAAAAGUGCCCCUGAUACUGGUAGUCUUGAGGGAGGUAGGGGCAUGUGGAACUUCCGGUGGAGCGGUGAAAUGCGUAGAUAUCGGAAGGAACGCCGGUGGCGAAAGCGACGUGCUGGAUCUCUUCUGACGCUGAGGCGCGAAAGCCAGGGUAGCGAACGGG